AUGAACGCUGGCGGCGUGCCUAAUACAUUCCAGUCGAGCGAACAGACGAGGAGCUUGCUCCUCUGACGUUAGCGGCGGACGGGUGAGUAACACGUGGAUAACCUACCUAUAAGACUGGGAUAACUUCGGGAAACCGGAGCUAAUACCGGAUAAUAUAUUGAACCGCAUGGUUCCAUAGUGAAAGACGGUUUUGCUGUCACUUAUAGAUGGAUCCGCGCCGCAUUAGCUAGUUGGUAAGGUAACGGCUUACCAAGGCAACGAUGCGUAGCCGACCUGAGAGGGUGAUCGGCCACACUGGAACUGAGACACGGCCCAGACUCCUACGGGAGGCAGCAGUAGGGAAUCUUCCGCAAUGGGCGAAAGCCUGACGGAGCAACGCCGCGUGAGUGAUGAAGGUCUUCGGAUCGUAAAACUCUGUUAUUAGGGAAGAACAAAUGUGUAAGUAACUAUGCACGUCUUGACGGUACCUAAUCAGAAAGCCACGGCUAACUACGUG
Molecule: ribosomal RNA, 496 nt
Filed under: uncultured bacterium
Lineage: Bacteria
Description: partial 16S ribosomal RNA
Rfam family: Bacterial small subunit ribosomal RNA
Source: RNAcentral